UCAUCUGUGGCUGACAUUUUGGGGAGUUAUCCAGAUGUGUAAGUUUGACACAUGUCUGAUUAUCUACAUUUCUUUAAAAAGUCCAAUAUCACAGGUAAUUUCAGGUUUUGUAUAGAAUGAGCUGAAGAGCUGAAGUCACUCAAUCGUGUCUGACUCUUUGCGACCCCAUGGACUGUAGCCCCCCAGGCUCCUCGGUCCAUGGGAUUUUCCGGGCAUGAAUACUGGAGUGGGUUGCCAGAAUAGUUCACACUAAAUAAUGGAAAAGCUGCUCUUUUGAUUCUGAAAUUUAACCUCAUUUUUUACUCCUAUGAAUAGUUAUUCAUAGUCAGCUGAGAGUUCCUUUUCCAGCAUGAUUUGACAGAUGAAUGCUGGGUGUUGAUGUAUUAAUUACGUGCAAGCUUCUUGAUCAGUUUGUUGUCUUCAGUACACUGCACAGGUCCUCUGUGAUCUAGACCACCCUGUGAACUUAGGCACCUUCCACGGGGCAGAGAAGUCAGCAUAGCCCUGGAAAGUGAAUUAAUCAUGUGUUCUGAAUUAUUGUUUUUCGUGUUACCCAUUCAAAAGUGCCAAAUAAAAGCCCCCCUGUUUAAAGCAAAACUUGAAAAAUAAAAUUUGAAUGUGGCCCAGAAUAAGGAAUAUAAUGGAAUAUAAUCUAUUAAUUCUACACACCCUUUUAGAUUUGUAAUGUUUAAUCAGAGGUAUACUUUAGAAUCAUCUUAAGAGCUUUUUCAAAAUAUACAUGUCUGAGCUCCUUUCCUACAGGAUCUGAUUUAGUGGAGCUGAGGUGGAGAGGCCACGCAGGUCCAUUAGAAAAAAAGUUUUCCAGGUGAUUACGACAUGUCCCCAGGUUAAGAAUCUGCUUCACAAGAUUGGCCAUAUGUUGGUAGCUGUUGAUAAUCUUUACCAAAGGUGCUGUUGUGUCUGUGGGGUUGCUUUAUCAGUGGUUCAUGUCCAUUUUAGUAGAUAUUGCCACAUUGUUUGCAAAAUUUCUGCAACAACACCAUCUCUACCAGCCUGUACUGUUCUUCCACAUAAGCAAGAAGGGCUCCUGCCCUGGGCCCUGCACUUUAGAAGACCCUCAUAUCACAAAUGGGUUUCCCCGAUGGCUCAGUGGGUAAAGAAACCACCUACGGCCUACAACGCAGGAGACACAGGAGAUGCAGGUUUGAUCCCUGGGUUGGGAAGAUCCCCGGAGGAGGAAAAUGGCAGCCCACUCCAGUAUUCUUGCCUGGAGAAUCCCAUGGGCAGAGAAGCCUGGCGGGCUGCAGUCCAUGGAUGGAGUUGCAAAGAGUCGGACACAAUUAAGCAACUUAGCCCACAGGCAACAGCAUAGUGCAAAUACACAAAAUAAAGUUGGUUUAUUGCAGACCCGUGGGGCACCUGUCACUCAGCCAUGGCACAGCGUUGCCCGCUGCCCUCAACAUCCGCUCUUGUGACUGAUAUCAUUCAGCCCCCAGGGAAGUGCUUUUCUGCAUCUCUUGCUCUGUCUCUUGGAGGUAAAGGCCACCUGAGUCUAAAAGCUUGUGGAUUAUACCACUGCUGACAUCAGAAAUAGACUCCUGCUUUGGAGUGUGGGGGAAAAACUGAACAGCAGAAGGACUUAGAUUAUUGAAAAUGUGUACAAAUCACGAUUUUGAUAGAAAAAGAAUACUAAAGUGGAACUCACAAAAGAAAACUGAAAGGAAAAAAGGAGUAAAAAAAAUCUUCAAAGAAAUGGUCUGCUUUAAAAGUAAGCAGUCUUCUUCUAGGAUGACCCACAUAAAAUUCACAAAGAGAACAUUACAGAUUCUUUGUUCAAUGAAGAUUUAAUUAUGUAUCAAAACAAUGAAAAUUAGAAAUAUUCUUGCCAAAUCCACAACUUGAACAGUUCAGAUAAAUCCUGACAGCUUCAUGUUCUUUACUAAAGGAAGAUUUAAUUGCUAAUCACAAAGAAUCAUACAGCAGAAAAGGACAUGUGCAGUUAUUGGAAUUGGAGGGGAAAGGCUGAAUAAACAGCAGACAGUUGAUAACCAGAAAAGGCAAAGGUAAAAAACAUAGAUGUAAAAAAAAAAAAAACAUAGAUGUAGUGUUCUUGAAA
Long non-coding RNA from Cervus elaphus (red deer), 2077 nucleotides. RefSeq lists it as uncharacterized. NCBI's taxonomy places the organism in Eukaryota, Metazoa, Chordata, Mammalia, Artiodactyla, Cervidae. The record is from RefSeq and is a predicted model, not a curated record. The transcript is spliced from 2 exons.